GAUUAGAGUUUGAUCCUGGCUCAGCCUUUGACUUAAAAAAUGGAGAAGUCGUAACAAGGUAGCCGUAAGUCGUAACAAGGUAACCGUAGAGUUUGAUCCUGGCUCAGCCUUUGACUUAAAAAAAUGGGGAAGUCGUAACAAGGUAACCGUAAGUCGUAACAAGGUAACCGUAGAGUUUGAUCAUGGCUCAGCCUUUGACUUAAAAAAAUGGAGAAGUCGUAACAAGGUAGCCGUAAGUCGUAACAAGGUAGCCGUAAGUCGUAUCAAGGUAACCGUAGAGUUUGAUCAUGGCUCAGUGACUGGGGUGAAGUCGUAACAAGGUAGCCGUAAGUCGUAACAGGGUAACCAUAGAGUUUGAUCAUGGCUCAGAAGUCGUAACACGGUAGCCGA
This 390-nucleotide ribosomal RNA is filed under the name uncultured bacterium. Its description in RNAcentral is "partial 16S ribosomal RNA". The record is from RNAcentral.